AUUGAACGCUGGCGGCAGGCCUAACACAUGCAAGUCGAGCGGAUGAAGGGAGCUUGCUCCUGGAUUCAGCGGCGGACGGGUGUGUAAUGCCUAGGAAUCUGCCUGGUAGUGGGGGGUGACGUCUGGAAACGGGCGCUAAUACCGCAUGCGUGCUGAGCGAGAAAGUGGGUGAGGUUCGGACCUCACGCUAUGAGAUGAGCCUAGGUCGGAUUAGCUAGUUGGUGGGGUAAAGGCCUACCUAGCAGACGAUCCGCAACUGGUCUGAGAGGAUGAUCAGUCACACUGGAACUGAGACAGCGACAAGACUCCUACGGGACGCCGCAGUGUGGUAUAUUAGACAGUGGGGGAAAGCAUGAUACAGUCAUGCCGAGUGUGUGGAGAAGGUGUUGGGAGUGUAAAGAACUUUUAGUUGGGAGAAAGGGCAGUAAGUUAAUACGUUGCUGGAUUGACGUUAACAGGAGAAUAAGCACCGGCUAACUACGUG
This 484-nucleotide ribosomal RNA is filed under the name uncultured bacterium. RNAcentral's name for it is "partial 16S ribosomal RNA". It matches the Rfam family "Bacterial small subunit ribosomal RNA", at positions 30 to 507 of the family's 1533-position model. The record is from RNAcentral.